Molecule: ribosomal RNA, 495 nt
Filed under: uncultured bacterium
Lineage: Bacteria
Description: partial 16S ribosomal RNA
Rfam family: Bacterial small subunit ribosomal RNA
Source: RNAcentral
GACGAACGCUGGCGGCGUGCCUAAUACAUGCAAGUAGAACGCUGAAGGAGGAGCUUGCUUCUCUGGAUGAGUUGCGAACGGGUGAGUAACGCGUAGGUAACCUGCCUGGUAGCGGGGGAUAACUAUUGGAAACGAUAGCUAAUACCGCAUAAUAGUAGAUGUUGCAUGACAUUUGCUUAAAAGGUGCAAUUGCAUCACUACCAGAUGGACCUGCGUUGUAUUAGCUAGUUGGUGGGGUAACGGCUCACCAAGGCGACGAUACAUAGCCGACCUGAGAGGGUGAUCGGCCACACUGGGACUGAGACACGGCCCAGACUCCUACGGGAGGCAGCAGUAGGGAAUCUUCGGCAAUGGACGGAAGUCUGACCGAGCAACGCCGCGUGAGUGAAGAAGGUUUUCGGAUCGUAAAGCUCUGUUGUAAGAGAAGAACGAGUGUGAGAGUGGAAAGUUCACACUGUGACGGUAUCUUACCAGAAAGGUGCGGCUAACUACGUG